This 85-nucleotide transfer RNA is filed under the name Felis catus (domestic cat). It matches the Rfam family "tRNA". Rfam says of the family: Transfer RNA (tRNA) molecules are approximately 80 nucleotides in length. Their secondary structure includes four short double-helical elements and three loops (D, anti-codon, and T loops). RNAcentral also lists the same sequence under 2 other names. Lineage: Eukaryota; Metazoa; Chordata; Mammalia; Carnivora; Felidae. The record is from Rfam by way of RNAcentral.
GCCUGGGUAGCUCAGUCAGUUGGGCGUCUGACUUUGGCUCAGGUCAUGAUCUCAUGGUUUGUGGGUUCGAGCCCCACAUCGUGCU